GUUGGUAAGGUAACGGCUUACCAAGGCUAUGAUGCCUAGGGGCUCUGAGAGGAGUGACCCCCACACUGGUACUGAGACACGGACCAGACUCCUACGGGAGGCAGCAGUAGGGAAUAUUGGUCAAUGGGCGGGAGCCUGAACCAGCCAUGCCGCGUGCGGGAAGAAGGCCCUAUGGGUCGUAAACCGCUUUUAUACGGGAACAACCGCAGCUACGUGUAGCUGUCUGAGUGUACCGUAGGAAUAAGGAUCGGCUAACUCCGUGCCAGCAGCCGCGGUAAUACGGAGGAUCCGAGCGUUAUCCGGAAUUAUUGGGUUUAAAGGGUGCGUAGGCGGCACUUUAAGUCAGGGGUGAAAUACAGCGGCUCAACCGUUGCAGUGCCCUUGAUACUGAAGUGCUUGAAUGUGGACGAAGGAGGCGGAACGGGACAAGUAGCGGUGAAAUGCAUAGAUAUGUCCCAGAACCCCGAUUGCGAAGGCAGCUUCCUAGGCCAUAAUUGACGCUGAUGCACGAAAGCGUGGGGAUCGAACAGGAUUAGAUACCCUGGUAGUCCACGCCCUAAACGAUGAUGACUCGAUGUUUGCGAUAUA
RNAcentral lists this ribosomal RNA (588 nucleotides) under Sphingobacterium micropteri. RNAcentral's name for it is "bacterial SSU rRNA". It matches the Rfam family "Bacterial small subunit ribosomal RNA", at positions 248 to 833 of the family's 1533-position model. Lineage: Bacteria; Pseudomonadati; Bacteroidota; Sphingobacteriia; Sphingobacteriales; Sphingobacteriaceae. The record is from RNAcentral.